AAUUAUUAAUUGGGCUAUAGAUAAUUGUGCUGCUUCUUGGGCCACCAAGGUAUAAAUUUAAAUGGGUGAUUUUAUCCACAGCCCCAUUUUACUCAAUAUAGUCACUCAUAUAAAAUAAUAAUAAAAAAUAAUUAUAAAUUUACAAUUUUACCCUAUAAUUUGUAUAUCCUCAAAUUAAUUUAUUUUAUAAUUAAAUUAAAAUUCAAUUUUUUGUAUAGCCCCAAACUACAUGUACCUCAAGCAAUCACAAGUUAUACUCUGCAAUAAAUAGAGUUUCUGGAAAGCUUUGUUAUUUUAUCUAAAUCAGCAUCAUGUGCUUUAAAAUCACCAAGAACAGUGAUUAUGCCUUUUGUUUCUUGGGUUUCCUGUUAUUGGAGAAAAAGGGGGGGGCUAGGUCACAUGGCUACUACUAUUCCGUCUUGCAGAGAAAACGCUUACUUGUUAAGAUUCACAUAAAUUUCUUAUGCAUAAAUCAACGGUGGAAGAUUUAACAUUGAAUCUCUCUAUCUCUCAUUCUCUUGUAAGCUAGAAAAUAUGUAAGGGUUAGCACAAGCAGAGCAGUUGCAGUUUCUCAAGCACUCAGUUUUGCACUGAUCAAGGCUCAUGCUAGUAUUCAACCAGUAUGUUAGUAGAUCAGGAUGCUUCACCCCUCUAACCUCUACAAAACCAUUUCCACUCUCGCAAUUAAACGCCCUAACUCUACCACAUCCACCAGACCAGUCUUGAAGCUCCCAUUCCUUCCUGAACUUGGGAGAAAAUCCUCUGAAAUACUCGCAUCUUUGUGCCUUGUCAACUGCGCAUAUGUCGUUGGGACCGCAGUGACGGCGGCUUAAUUUGCUCGCCAUUGAUGUUGUUCGGACCGGGAGAAGGUAAAGACAAUGGCCUAUGUCAAAAUUGAAGGCGAAAUCGAUCGCCUAAAAUUGCGAUCGUCGGAAAUCGAGGGAGGAAGCAGUGGCAGAUUUGGAGAUUGAAGGUUUCAAAUAGAGAUGAAGGACGUGAGUUAGAGAAUGAGAGACGAGGAGGCCGACGGCGGCAGGGGCAACCCUGCCACUACUAUUUUUCGGAAAUCUAAAGCGGCAGUGGCGGUGAAUUUAAGAAGAAGGGAAAAAUCAAGGACUAAUUGGAGGAUUUUGAAGACAUGAGAUUGAAGUACGUCUCUAGAGGAAUCCGUGAGCGCAAACGGCGACCAAAUCCGAGUCCGGACGAGGGAGAACGGAGCAAAACGAGUAGACUGCGCAAAGAGCCCAGUAUCCCGCGGUCACCACCCGCGGCCGUGGGGCGGGACCGCGGCAAACUCACUUUCGACACCAGAAGACACCCGCGGCCGCGGGGUGGGACCGCGGGUCCCCUGAGCAUCCCCCACGUUUGAAGGCCGCGGACGCGGGCCGUGACCGCGGGAAAAGGGCGGGGCUUCCCCCAAGUGGGCCCAGACGUGAUUUUGAGCCCUAAAACCCCAUUUUCCCCCCAUUCCUCACAUCUUUCAUCAUCCCCCAACAUUCAACACACCCAAUUUCAUCUUCCCCAAUACUCCACACCAAAACCCUAGCCUCCAUUAACACACCCACCUACCAAGAUUGAAGCAUUGAAGAGGAGAGAAGGAAGAAAGCAACCUUGAAAUAGGAUUUGUCACUUUACUCUCCAUUUCAUUUAUGUAUCUCUUUGUUUUUGGAUUGUUGUUUGUGAACAUGUUAGGCUAAAAUCCCCCAUUGGUUUGGGGGUUAGGCUAGUAGAUUAUGUAAUGGAUUGAUUAUUAUGCUUAA
Salvia miltiorrhiza (redroot sage) is the source of this 1760-nucleotide long non-coding RNA. RefSeq lists it as uncharacterized. The record is from RefSeq and is a predicted model, not a curated record. Lineage: Eukaryota; Viridiplantae; Streptophyta; Magnoliopsida; Lamiales; Lamiaceae. The transcript is spliced from 2 exons.